AUGUUUGUAUCAAUUUUCUUACUUUAAGUGUAACAAUUGGCAACAUGUUAGUAAAAACAGCAGCUAUUUUAUUAUUUCUUUUACACUUAUCGGCUGCACUUGAUUUCUCGUGCUUAAUCCCAAUCCUUCCCUGUCCAAGCAACAACACAGGACCUAGUUUUACGAAUUUUAUUCCCGGUUUUAAUUUUUUGAAAACUUUUCACAAUAACAUUUUUGAUAGAAAUAACUAACUUAAAUUGAAAAUUAAAAAAAAAAAUUAUAAACCUUGUUUAUUUUACAUACAUUACAAUAUUUUAAUUUUUUCUAUAUGUGUUGCCAAGAAAUUAUAAUAAAAUAAAAA
Molecule: unclassified non-coding RNA, 340 nt
Filed under: Melitaea cinxia (Glanville fritillary)
Lineage: Eukaryota; Metazoa; Arthropoda; Insecta; Lepidoptera; Nymphalidae
Description: misc RNA ENSMCXG00005012988.1
Source: RNAcentral